RNAcentral lists this long non-coding RNA (821 nucleotides) under Mus caroli (Ryukyu mouse). RNAcentral's name for it is "predicted gene 29064 (MGP_CAROLIEiJ_G0005883.1)". Lineage: Eukaryota; Metazoa; Chordata; Mammalia; Rodentia; Muridae. The record is from RNAcentral.
GGCUGCCAGACUCCUAUCAUUCAACUCUUCCCAAUCCAAUCGCCCAGUAUAAAUAAAGGCAAAAAAAUAAAUCAGAAGCCGAGUGUUUUUAAACGCACUAAAUGAAAGGCUGUAUUCAUGCCGCCUCCCUCAAAUGAAUCACCAGAUUAAAUGCGAGAUGUGAGCACCAAAUCAAUAACUGGAGACAGAGAUGUCUUGCCUGUUCUUCAGGAAAAUUCCAUUUCCUUUCAGAUGUUGUUGCUUGAAAUGUCAGGAAGUUUCCAUACAUCUCCACCCUUGACAAUGCCGCUGGUGCCGUCCAUCCUCCAGCUUUGCCUCCUUCCUUCAGGGAAACCCAGGCACCUUGCCAGAGAAAGCCCACAUGUCACAGCCUCCGAGAGCCUCGACAUAGGCAGGGUGUGGAGGGAAAGGCAUGGAGAGGUUGGGGUGAAAAACAAACAAACAAACAAACAAACAAACAACAAAACCCCCAAAUUAGAAUACCAAUGUUUUCUUCCGGUGCCUCAAAGAGACCACACUAUUGUGUGUACUACAGGUGGGCCACUGAGGCUAAUAGAAGAAAAUACAUUAGGGGGUUGAGAAGGGAACCUAAGUCUUGACCUUGAAGGUUCUCUGUGCUUCAUUGUUGUCUAAUAAAAUAGAAUAAAUACAAAUGCGGCACAUUAUGGUCUCUACACUGCCUCCCACGUGUUACAUAACCCUGGGCUGUAUAUGCAAUUCCCCGUACCUGAGCAUCUGGAUGUAUAAAUGGGGUCAUGGCAGCCAAGUGUUCAGCUGCUGUCACUGUUCAAAAUGCAAUCAAAAUGGAAUAUCUCAUUUCU